GAUGAACGCUGGCGGCGUGCCUAAUACAUGCAAGUCGAGCGAACGGACGAGAAGCUUGCUUCUUUGAUGUUAGCGGCGGACGGGUGAGUAACACGUGGAUAACCUACCUAUAAGACUGGGAUAACUUCGGGAAACCGUAGCUAAUACCGGAUAAUAUUUUGAACCGCAUGGUUCAAAAGUGAAAGACGGCCUUGCUGUCACUUAUAGAUGGAUCCGCGCUGUAUUAGCUAGUUGGUAAGGUAACGGCUUACCAAGGCAACGAUGCAUAGCCGACCUGAGAGGGUGAUCGGCCACACUGGAACUGAGACACGGUCCAGACUCCUACGGGAGGCAGCAGUAGGGAAUCUUCCGCAAUGGGCGAAAGCCUGACGGAGCAACGCCGCGUGAGUGAUGAAGGUCUUCGGAUCGUAAAACUCUGUUAUUAGGGAAGAACAUAUGUGUAAGUAACUGUGCACAUCUUGACGGUACCUAAUCAGAAAGCCACGGCUAACUACGUG
RNAcentral lists this ribosomal RNA (497 nucleotides) under uncultured bacterium. RNAcentral's name for it is "partial 16S ribosomal RNA". It matches the Rfam family "Bacterial small subunit ribosomal RNA", at positions 28 to 507 of the family's 1533-position model. The record is from RNAcentral.